UCGAGCGACUGAUUAGAAGCUUGCUUCUAUGACGUUAGCGGCGGACGGGUGAGUAACACGUGGGCAACCUGCCUGUAAGACUGGGAUAACUCCGGGAAACCGGAGCUAAUACCGGAUAACAUUUUCUCUUGCAUAAGAGAAAAUUGAAAGAUGGUUUCGGCUAUCACUUACAGAUGGGCCCGCGGUGCAUUAGCUAGUUGGUGAGGUAACGGCUCACCAAGGCAACGAUGCAUAGCCGACCUGAGAGGGUGAUCGGCCACACUGGGACUGAGACACGGCCCAGACUCCUACGGGAGGCAGCAGUAGGGAAUCUUCCGCAAUGGACGAAAGUCUGACGGAGCAACGCCGCGUGAGUGAUGAAGGCUUUCGGGUCGUAAAACUCUGUUGUUAGGGAAGAACAAGUACAAGAGUAACUGCUUGUACCUUGACGGUACCUAACCAGAAAGCCACGGCUAACUACGUGCCAGCAGCCGCGGUAAUACGUAGGUGGCAAGCGUUAUCCGGAAUUAUUGGGCGUAAAGCGCGCGCAGGCGGUUUCUUAAGUCUGAUGUGAAAGCCCACGGCUCAACCGUGGAGGGUCAUUGGAAACUGGGGAACUUGAGUGCAGAAGAGAAAAGCGGAAUUCCACGUGUAGCGGUGAAAUGCGUAGAGAUGUGGAGGAACACCAGUGGCGAAAGCGGCUUUUUG
This 687-nucleotide ribosomal RNA is filed under the name Bacillus sp. (in: firmicutes). RNAcentral's name for it is "bacterial SSU rRNA". It matches the Rfam family "Bacterial small subunit ribosomal RNA", at positions 62 to 731 of the family's 1533-position model. The record is from RNAcentral. Lineage: Bacteria; Bacillati; Bacillota; Bacilli; Caryophanales; Bacillaceae.